CCCUUCUCUUUUAACACCCAUCAUUCCAUUCACGACACCCAACACCCCCACAAGCUCGAACUCAACUCCAGCACUUGCCUUGCCUUCUCUCUCCUAGAAUAGAAUAUUCCCAAAGAUAUAUUUCUGCAAUCUAUGGAGUUUCUUUCUUGAUUCAAAAGGCCGCAAUAAAGGUGUGAGCUCUGAGAUAUUUCUGCGCAAAUCUUGGCUUGUAGACCGUAGAUCCCCACCAUUUGUUCUAAAAGGCGAACUGGGUUUCUAUCACUUUUGUCUUUUGGUUCAUAAUUCCCAUGGUUUUUAGUUUGUCACUCCAGGAAGUUAAUGCUCCCACUUCUGCUGGACUUGCUGCUUACAUUGUCACUCAUUUUUUCAUAAGUGUUCCUAGACUUUAAGAGUGUUACUAUAAUGUCAAAAACAUUUGAGGUAAGGAGGGCUUUGGAAGUGCAGUUUGCAGUUACUUGCCUUAAAUCUACUUGCUUCUACUCCAGAUGGGUUGAAUAAUGAAGGGCUCUACCUUUUAGAGUUGAAGAAAAGUAUGCAAGAUGGAUUUGAUUCUUUGGGAAAUUGGAACUCCUCCGAUCAGACACCUUGCAGAUGGAUGGGAGUAAAUUGCUCUUCCAAUUACGAUCCAGUGGUCAAAGGUUUUGGAAUUACUGGUCUUCGAUUCCACCUCCCCUCUCCUCUACCUGACCCUCCUCUUCUCCCUCCUCCUCUUCCUCUCCUACUUCUUCACUCUUACUCUUCCAUUUCCCCAAAAGUUCCUUCGGUUCUCCAUCACCACGCGGUUGCUCUCGGCAGUUUCCCAAAGUUUCGGGUUUUGAGCUCUGAUGAGAUCAGGAUUUCGGUCUGGAAUCAUACGGUUGACUCAUUCGUAGUGGGAGUUAUUUCUUCCCGAGUUGGAAAGUAGAAGCUUCAACUUUUAGCUCAGACCUUAAAGCCUCAAAAUUUUCACUUUAUCAGUCCAGUUAUUCUAGGCAAGCAUAACCCUUAUCAACAUCCUGUUUACAGAAGAAUAAAGUCAUUCUCAUGGUCCUUCUCUGGAAUGCAGUGUUAAUUCUUCGGACUUUCGACCUCUGCCGUCUGAUUCUCCUCAAUUAUGCUUGCACCAUUUGAACCAGAGUGAAUCUUAAGGUUGAUUUUUGCAUUUGUCGAACUCUAACUCUAUUUCCAUCUCUCUCACAGACAUACACACUAUGUCAAUGUUAAAACGUCAUCAUUCCUUAUUAUUCAAAAUUGGUCUUUGGUUCAUUUUAUUAGUAAAUUUUCAAUUCUCUGAUGGCUGCUAUUACAUGUUUGUCGGAUUGCAUUAUAGGCACAUACUUUUGCAUUUUAAGGUAUCAAGCUUCUUCUUGGUGAUAAUACUAACUAUUUGCACUCUGGAAAAUUCUUCAUUUGAUUCAAUAGGGUUUUUAAUUUCACUUUUUUGUUGCUGUGAAAUGUUUUUCCAAGCUAAAUCAUUGGAUUGCAAUUGCAAACCACGAACACUACCUCAGAAACCACAAACCCAGCUCCUCAAGUCCUCAGCACAAUGCAUUUAUGAAAUUGCUCAUUUUGACAACUGGGAUUGCCAGUUUCCUCCACCUCUUAUGUUGUUCACCAGCUUCACUGCAAAUAAGAUUAAACCAGGUCCCUUCCAAGUUUCAGCCACCGCUACCACCAGGACCUCAGCUAUCUUUCCGUUGUUCCUCAAAACUUUCAUAUUGCUAACAAUCUGUUGCUUGAAGUUCAUCCUUUUGAUUGUACGCUAGCUCUUGAUGUCAGCUUAAUUGAAUGUCAAUGAAAUCCAAACUCUUAUCCUAUCAUCUCACAUCACCCAAAGAUUGAUUGUACAGUAGAGAUGCAGAGGAUGGAAUCCGUGAAUUAGAUGAAAUGGAUGGUUCAUGGAUUGCAGUUGGCACCACCAUGGCCACGACGACAAAGAGGAGACGUUGUUGGCGAUAUCGAAGCUCCUCAAGGAAUUGACCGAGGAGGACAUGAAAGUACAGAUUUGGAUUUCAUCAGCACGACCAAGAUCAUGAGCAUUUUGAUGGUCUGCAGCUCUCAGUUCUUGGCAUUUCUUCUUACAUUUAAUCUGGUUGAAUUUUUUAUUUUGUGGGUUUGGAAAUUCAAGGUUUUUUUUCUGCAAUUUAUAUUUCCAUUUAAGUUUUUGAACUGUUCUGUUUGGUUGCCAGUAUGAUUACUUAUAGACUAUUUCGCCAUAUGCAUUUGCUACAAAAUGUAAACUUAUAUUAAAUGAAACAUGUUGAAGUCUCUUUGCAUUUGCGUAAGCUAUCGUGUGUUGUUAAAAGUGAGGGGGCAUCUAGCAUACAACACACACGCCAUGGUUGUACAACUAAGUUUGCCAUGGAAGGAUUUCUGGAUUUCUUCGAUAACUCUCCUUCAGCCAAGCUUCUGCAUUUAUAUGAUCAUUGUCAAACGCUGUAGCAACUAUAAGUUUGUCAAAAUUUAUAAUUAUGGUUAUUGAUUGCUGGAAUUUUGAUCGUAGUGGUCCAGAUUUACUUGCUCAUGAUAUUUUUAUUGCUUUACUGUGAAAAGAUGGAUACUUUACUGCAAAAUAUGCUUAAUUUAAUGCAGAUUUGCUAGGUUUUUAAUACAAUUAGGUUAAUUGGAUAAUGUAUAUUGGCGAUUUUGCAGUAAGUACAAUGCUUUUUGUGUGCCUACUUCUCCGCUGAUUAACUUCUCACUCUUACAGGCUUAGAUUCAAAACCAUAAUGGAUUCCCCUUUUAACACGGGACCUCUUUGAAAACUCUCUAAUCAUCAUUGAUUGCAGACUAAAAUUUAAUGCGUUAAAUUUCCUUCCUCUUUCUUGUCCAAAUUUUCAGGUCUCCACAAUUGUUCAGGUUGUUGGCAUUAUUCUUUCCUUGCACGCAGCUACUAAAAUUUCGAGUAGAGCCCAAGGUAUAGCGACAUUUGCCUGUAGAUGGCAUGCGUUAAUGACAUGCAGUUCUAAUGAUUCACCGCAUAAGAGAAGUUCAGACAGUUUGGUGAACUUUGAGGCUGCCAACAGAUUGAGCUCACUGCAUACAAGUUAUUCUGAUAGUGAUUUGGAGUCAACGGAUUAUGUUCAUGUGCCUACAAAUUCCCAGCUGGCUUCACAUAGGGCUUCAUACCACAAGUAGACAAGCUUUUGAGUAUGCAUACACCAUGAGGGUUGCAGAAAAAUGUGACAUCCAUAGCUACGGGGUUGUUCUAUUAGAGUUGCUAACUGGAAGAACUCCAGUCCAAUCACUAGAUCAAGGAGGCCACUUGGUCACCUGGGUGAGACACUAUGUUCAAAACCAUUCAUUAACAUCUGGGAUACUCGAUAGUCGGUUAAAUCUUCAAGACAGACUUCUUGUUGAUCACAUGCUUAUUGUAUUAAAAAUUGCUUUGACUUUGCACAAGUAUGCCCCCAUUUGACUGUCCAACAACUCGAGAAGUUGUGUUGAUACUUUUUGAGUCUAAUGAGCAAGAUGGGGACUUUCUUCCGUCUCCAACUUUCAAUCUUCCUUCGAAAGAUGCUACGGAUCUUCUGAAAGACGAUGUAGAUCUUCCUUUGACAGAUGAUACUCGGUGAAAGUAUACGACACAUCCCUAGAUUUUAGUUA
RNA transcript from Pyrus x bretschneideri (Chinese white pear), 3585 nucleotides. RefSeq lists it as uncharacterized. The transcript is spliced from 10 exons. Lineage: Eukaryota; Viridiplantae; Streptophyta; Magnoliopsida; Rosales; Rosaceae. The record is from RefSeq and is a predicted model, not a curated record.